AUCAACCUGAAGAGUCCCCGAUGGGACGAAACGCGCGUCCUGGAU
This 45-nucleotide non-coding RNA is filed under the name Schistosoma curassoni. The record is from RNAcentral. Lineage: Eukaryota; Metazoa; Platyhelminthes; Trematoda; Strigeidida; Schistosomatidae.